AUUGAACGCUGGCGGCAGGCUUAACACAUGCAAGUCGAACGAGCGGCGGACGGGUGAGUAAUGCUUGGGAAUCUAGCUGAUGGAGGGGGAUAACUACGGGAACCUGUAGCUAAUACCGCAUACCAUAGGAUGUGCCCAAGUGGGAUUAGCUAGUUGGUGAGGUAAUGGCUCACCUAGCCGACGAUCUCUAGCUGGUCUGAGAGGAUGACCAGCCACACUGGGACUGAGACACGGCCCAGACUCCUACGGGAGGCAGCAGUGGGGAAUAUUGCACAAUGGGCGCAAGCCUGAUGCAGCCAUGCCGCGUGUAUGAAGAAGGCCUUCGGGUUGUAAAGUACUUUCAGUCGGGAGGCGUUACCGACAGAAGAAGCACCGGCUAACUCCGUGCCAGCAGCCGCGGUAAUAC
Molecule: ribosomal RNA, 406 nt
Filed under: uncultured bacterium
Lineage: Bacteria
Description: partial 16S ribosomal RNA
Rfam family: Bacterial small subunit ribosomal RNA
Source: RNAcentral